CGCCGCCGCGGCCAGAGCCCCCAGCCUCUGCGCCGCGGGCCGGGACGAGCGCCCGGGCCCACGGCCUCCGCGCCUACCUUUCGGACUUGGUGAACUUCCGGAAUGCCUGUCGGAGGUCGUGGAAGGACCUGUACGUCUGCGGCUCGGCCGAGAUGCCCUGCGCCCGGGUGGUCCGGGGGCCGAUCCGCUUCUCCAGCUCUUUGAUCCUCUCCUCCUUGAGCAUGAGAAUCUUGGCAAAGUCUUCCUCUAGCUCGCUCAUUUUUUCACUGAGCCCCUCCGCGAAACUUUUUCUCGGGCGGCGGCGGCGGCGGCGGCGGCGGCGGCGGCUGGGACGGCAGCCGGCAGCGGAGAGCGCGGGUGAGCGAGUGAAUGGGCGCUAAGUACUCGAGCGCGGCGGAGUGCGCCCCUAAUGCGGCGCGGGGAGCCUCCUGCUUCGAUCCGCUUCUGCUGAAUGGACUAAAAGCACCGAGGGGAGGAUGAGAAGUCUAAAAGCGAUGGAGAGGAGAGGCAGAGUGCUAAUCUCCAGCCUCUCUGGGGAGUAGGUGAUUAUCUUUCAUUGAGAAACCAAUUAGAGCUGCCCUUCCUCCCCUGAGACCCCCUCCCUCGUCCCCCUCUCCUAGUCACUCCGUGAGAAUACGCGCGCGCCACCCCACCGACAGCCGAGUUGCU
RNAcentral lists this long non-coding RNA (669 nucleotides) under Homo sapiens (human). Its description in RNAcentral is "non-protein coding lnc-A1CF-8:2". The record is from RNAcentral. Lineage: Eukaryota; Metazoa; Chordata; Mammalia; Primates; Hominidae.